UUGCUGCUUUGCUGACGAGUGGCGGACGGGUGAGUAAUGUCUGGGAAACUGCCUGAUGGAGGGGGAUAACUACUGGAAACGGUAGCUAAUACCGCAUAACGUCGCAAGACCAAAGAGGGGGACCUUCGGGCCUCUUGCCAUCGGAUGUGCCCAGAUGGGAUUAGCUAGUAGGUGGGGUAAAGGCUCACCUAGGCGACGAUCCCUAGCUGGUCUGAGAGGAUGACCAGCCACACUGGAACUGAGACACGGUCCAGACUCCUACGGGAGGCAGCAGUGGGGAAUAUUGCACAAUGGGCGCAAGCCUGAUGCAGCCAUGCCGCGUGUAUGAAGAAGGCCUUCGGGUUGUAAAGUACUUUCAGCGGGGAGGAAGGGAGUAAAGUUAAUACCUUUGCUCAUUGACGUUACCCGCAGAAGAAGCACCGGCUAACUCCGUGCCAGCAGCCGCGGUAAUACGGAGGGUGCAAGCGUUAAUCGGAAUUACUGGGCGUAAAGCGCACGCAGGCGGUUUGUUAAGUCAGAUGUGAAAUCCCCGGGCUCAACCUGGGAACUGCAUCUGAUACUGGCAAGCUUGAGUCUCGUAGAGGGGGGUAGAAUUCCAGGUGUAGCGGUGAAAUGCGUAGAGAUCUGGAGGAAUACCGGUGGCGAAGGC
Molecule: ribosomal RNA, 649 nt
Filed under: uncultured Pseudomonadota bacterium
Lineage: Bacteria; Pseudomonadati; Pseudomonadota
Description: bacterial SSU rRNA
Rfam family: Bacterial small subunit ribosomal RNA
Source: RNAcentral